UACGGAGGGUGCAAGCAUUAAUCGGAAUUAUUGGGCGUAAAGGGCGCGUAGGCGGAUUUGUAAGUCAGAUGUGAAAUACCGAGGCUUAACCUCGGUGCCGCAUUUGAAACUACAAAUCUAGAGGGUUGACGGAGAAAACGGAAUUCCACGUGUAGCGGUGAAAUGCGUGGAUAUGUGGAAGAACACCGGUGGCGAAAGCGGUUUUCUAGCUAAUACCUGACGCUGAGGCGCGAGAGCAAGGGGAGCAAACAGG
RNAcentral lists this ribosomal RNA (253 nucleotides) under uncultured bacterium. RNAcentral describes it as "partial 16S ribosomal RNA". It matches the Rfam family "Bacterial small subunit ribosomal RNA", at positions 524 to 776 of the family's 1533-position model. The record is from RNAcentral.